Molecule: non-coding RNA, 1933 nt
Organism: Sesamum indicum (sesame)
Lineage: Eukaryota; Viridiplantae; Streptophyta; Magnoliopsida; Lamiales; Pedaliaceae
Source: RefSeq, a predicted model, not a curated record
AAUAAAAUAAGAAUUGAGUCACUUACGAGAGAAGAGUCAGAAGAAACAAGAGAAACAGACCAGAACUAAGUUACUAAUAGAGAAAAAAAAGAAAGAAAGAAAGAGACUUGACUCUUCGGCCACUGGCGACGACUGAGACCGGAAGAAUAAAAAAAAAAGAUAGGACCGGCGACUGAGCGACGACGACGGUCCAACUGAGCUGAAGUCUUCGAAGGGGCAAAAUUCGAAUUUGGAGGAAGAAAAAAGAAUCAAUUUGAUCUCUCGUUUGCUUCUCUUCCAGAAUUCUCAGAAAAUAGUGGAGAAGAUGUCGAGGUUUCGUGCAUUGUGGCAAGCUUCAAUCAAUGCAACUAAAAGAGCUCUCACAUGGAACCUUGAAGACUUGGUCCCUCCCAGUGAAAGAUAUAUCUUCAAAUUUGACUCGAAGGAGGAGCUAAAGCGGUGGCAUUUAUAUUCAGAUUCUGAGUAUGGAGGUCUGUCAUCAGCAUCGCUGGAGAUAAAAGACUCAGUGAAUGGAUCAAGUGGGACUGGUGUAUUCUCUGGAAACCUUUCUUUGGAUGUUGAUGAAAGUUCAAGAUGGAACAUAAGUAGGAGUGGCUUCUGUGGAAUGAGAUCUAAAAAGUUUGAUGGCUUCAUUGAUUUGGAUGCCUACGACACAUUAGCCCUAAAAGUUAAAGGAGAUGGAAGAUGCUACAUUUCUACUAUUUAUACGGAGAAUUGGGUGAAUUCUCCUGGACAACAGGAAGAUAACUCGUGGCAGGCAUUUGUUUUUGUGCCUGAAGGCAACUGGUAUAUUGCGAAGAUUCCUCUUGCUCGAUAUCUGCCGACAUGGAGAGGCAAUGUGAUAGACGCAAAGCUCGAGAUGAACCCAUCUCGAGUUGUCGGCAUGUCUCUGUCGGUCAAUGCAGAAGGUGGAGUUCCAGGUGCUAGAUCUGGUCCAGGUGAUUUUCGAGUUGAAAUUGAUUGGAUUAAAGCUUUGAGAAUGCAGAGUUAACCCCCCAGUGCCCAGAGACCAAAGAAUAAGCAUGGCAAAAGUUAUUACUGCUUACCAUACGGAUGCUAGUGAUCAGAUGUAUAACUGUAGCAAUAUCAAAAUGGAGUUUGGUAAGUGUCAUUUGACACACAUAUCAAUUUUGACUGAAAUUAGUUGAAGUUAAGGAAUUAGGUUUUGAUAAACGCAUUACUUGGUUUUCAGUUGAUUAACCUGAUGAGAUAUGCUGCAUUAACUUUCUCCCUUAUUCAAUACUGAAGAACCCUCUAAAUUCAUGGCUGAGCACAAGAAGUUAGCAACACUCAACUUUGGAUGGUUGGAAAUGAACUAGAGAAUGGGACAUUGUGGAUUCUUUGUGAAUUGUGGACCAUGGUAUUGACUUAUCUUUCUUACUCUGCAAAUAUGUAUCUGCUUUCUUUUGUUUCUUUUUCAAUGAGCCAUCUUUCUCCAGAGCAGUAACAUUCCAUCUCCCGUUUCUGGUUUAAUUUCUUGAUUUUCCUAUCAACCAGUUAUGGGCAUCAAAGAAAGAGAAGAUGACUUGACUCCUCUGAUACAACUAUUUUAACCUUUUCGACUUUGUCAAUUUUGUGGUCUCCCUUUCUUGUGGUUGGAGUUGCGAUUGCUGUGCGCCCGUGGGACGUGAUUUCGACCCCAUUUGAGUCCUUUUGUACCAUUAGAUCACGUGGGCAUUUCCCCACUCCACCUGGACCCACUGCACACAGGAAACAAACAUGGUUGGGAUGAAAGUUGUGAAAGAUGAUGUCUUAGAAUAAUGAGGUGAAAUCAUGGUGGAGAAGAACCAAACAGAAACAGUAGCUUCGACCGUGUAACGUCAGCUGCAAUUUUGGGUGGCUGCAAAUUGUUUGAGACUGAAGAUUAGUAAAUGUAAGUGCAAGUUGCCCACUUGUUAUUUUACUCCAAGAAAACACCCACUCAUCUAUCAAA